This 41-nucleotide small nuclear RNA is filed under the name Cervus elaphus hippelaphus. The record is from RNAcentral. Lineage: Eukaryota; Metazoa; Chordata; Mammalia; Artiodactyla; Cervidae.
CGCUUCUCGGCCUUUUGGCUAAGAUCAAGUGUAAAACCUAU